Long non-coding RNA from Gallus gallus (chicken), 5953 nucleotides. RefSeq lists it as uncharacterized. NCBI's taxonomy places the organism in Eukaryota, Metazoa, Chordata, Aves, Galliformes, Phasianidae. The transcript has 2 exons. The record is from RefSeq and is a predicted model, not a curated record.
AACCAUUCUCCCUUGUCCUACCACUAUCCACCCUCAUAAACAGCUGUUCCCCCUCCUGUUUAUAUGCACCCUUCAAGUACUGGAAGGCCACAAUGAGGUCUCCCUGGAUUAUGCUGCAGUUUGGAGCAAAUCUCAUUGAAGGUUUUGGUUUUGGCUUUGGCUUUGUGUGAUUAGAAGCAUGUCACCCAUUACUUUUGGUUAUUAUCCAUGCCUUCAGUGUACAUAAAUUUGUUUUCUACAAUAUAAACUGUCCAUGUAAAUGGACAAAUGUAAAGUGUUCUCCAGUGACUCAGAAGGUAAUCUGAAAAAACAAAAGCAAAGCCAACCUGAACUCCACAAAGAAAAUAGAACCCCAACUUUCUAAGUGCUGGCUUAUGCAAGAAUACACUCAUCACCUCAUUCCACCUUGGACUUCAUCUAUGUUUAAUUCUGCAUACCAAAAUGCCUUGAGAAGAACACUGCAGCAUUACUUUAUUGUAGGUGCAUUUCUUUUUUCCAUGUAAAGACUUCAGUCUCCAAUUUCUUUGUCUUGAGCAUACCAAUGCCCACUAGCCUGCAGAUGAGACACAGGUGGAACUUCAGCUGCUUGGCUUCGGCUCCACAAACCUUUUCCUCUUGUGUUUCUUUAUCUUUUCUCUUGACAGAUGAGUGACUCAUUACACUGGAGUUCUGAGUCCACAGAUAGACAUAUUGGCUGAAGCGUAUGCCGAAUGUGGUCUAGUAGAUGAGGAUUCAUUAGUCUGUUGGUUUUUAUCCUUGCAUGAUGCAGUGUUUCCCCCCCUCCAGAUAUGUUGCCUUACAUAUUGGUUUAUUUAGAUGCUCACUAGAGGUUUCUUUGGUUUACCUUCUUGAACAUUCAGUUGCCAGCAGUGGGUGUAAGCUCCAGGGUUGACAGCUAGUCCUGUUUGCAAAUGUAGACUGCUCCCUGAGGCACAAUUCCUUUGUUAGUGAUGUUUCCAAGCUAUACGGAAUUACACAACAGUCAUGAGAGUAAAUACUGUCUUAUGUCAUUUUUAAUCCUUUUUCUAAUUAGAAUUUGUCAUUUUAUAUGUUUUCAGAAGUCGGCUCAUUGCUUUUACCUGUGCACUGAGCUUCCUCUGAGCAGGUUUUGCAUGUUUCAUAGGAUGCAAUAAGACCACUGAAUAGAAAACAACUGGAUUUUCAACUGCACUGUAGUACCUCCAUGCAAGAAGACAUGAGCAUACAUUUUCCACUGAAGCAUCAAAUGUUACCCACCAUCACAUGGAGCACAGAAGAUUCUUGAGUGAGUAAAUGAUCUGCAGUGACCAUCUCUGUAAUCCUGGGAGAUGAAACAACCAUCAGCAUCUGUGUAACUGCAUCGGCGUACCCAGCUAUAACCUCCCCAGAUUCCUCUAAAGUAAGAGAUAUUAGCAACAAAAUGAGUAAGAUUUCUGUGGGUUUUAGCAAUAGGUCAGUAACAUAAUGCAUGCAGGUUUUGACCACAAUCUUGGCUGAGAACUUGUUGAAAGUUCCUGCUUAAACCGCAGAGCUUCAGAAGUAAACACAGGACAUCCCUUUCCAAGGGCACAAACUGCAGUGGAUUACAUGCAGCUCUAAACAUAAACAAAUGUAAUUCCACUGAAAUUAGAAAGCGGGCACAGCUUAGUACAAGGGUUAAAUUUGAUUCCUAGACUGGGGUCUAAGAUUCUCAAAAAUCAUUAAGUUACAUUUCUUCUGUGACAUUACCAGCUUGGUAGUACACAGCCUUGCUCAUAGUGAACAGCAAGGAGAACACGAAUAAUCUUGGUGAGGUUUUUUUCCCAGUAAAAUUCACAUACUGUCAAGUUGUAUUUUUUCUGCGUGUUCAUCUCAGGAAUAAUUUGGCCAAACAGCUUCACAUUUGCAGCACUGCUUGUGCAUCAGUGCCCGUCCAGCAUUAGCAGGGCCUGACAGCAGGCUUGUAUUUCAGGGUUCAUGAGCCUCUGUUGAGGCUUGUCACUUGAGUUAAGGCAGUUUAAAAUUGGCAUGGGUAUCCUUACAGCAUGACUGAAGUUGGAGCACACGGAGCAGCAGGUUUUGCUUUGAAACUCAAUCCUUAAACAAAUGCCUAUGCUGAGCUUUAAUUAUUGAGCUCUUAGUUCUCCUCCCUGAUACUCUGUCCUGCCACCAAGAGACCAGACUGGUUUUCCUUGAGAACUUUCCAUGGCAUGUUUAUGCCCGUGAUAUUUUAUUUCUUAAGGCUGAGAAACAAUAGCAUUGCUGCGGUACAGUCUCUGUUUUUUCUUUCAGUAGCCUGAGCUUUUUUUAUUAUUAUUUUCAAUAUCAACUUUUUUUUUUUCACUUCAGUUUCAUUUCAUGCAGCUGCUGAGAAUGACAUUUCUCUCCAUAAAGUGUGUUCAGAGGAAAUGCGCACAGACUGAUGUCAGACUAUGAGUUGUGAGGCUGGGAGUUGGGCAGGUCUCCUGAGAGCUGUGUCAGCACUGAUGCCUUGUACACAGAGGUGUGGGCUGCAACUCCCCUUUGUCUGCCUGAUGGCAAGUUCUCCAGGGACAGCAUCUGUUUCACACCAAAAAGAGAACUCCAUGCCAUAGCUGUCUUCACCACAGCCAUGCUGACCCAGAUUCACUUUUAUGCUAGUGAAAAUCCAUUUAUUUCAAAGCGAUAUUUGUUUUGCUUAUAUCCCUAUCUUUAAGAAACAGGUCAAACUUGUCAGCCAUGUGAUUCAGUUUACUCAUCUGUAAAAUUGACAUGUUUUUUCCUUGGCUCAGGAGUGUGGGUGGAGGGGUUUUGUAAUGUAUGUGAACAAAACAACAACAACAAAAAAAUAGCUUGUGCUAAGAGUGAUUGUUUCUGAAAUGCUAGCUAUUAGAUCUAUUCUGGUUUGAAUAAAACAUUGGCAAGCCACAAGGCUUUUUUUCCCUGCCUAAUACAUUCUUAUGGGCAUUCCAGCUUUGAUCCCUCCCACGGAGUUACAGCUUUACAGGAACAUGCCUCAGUCUAGCUUACAGGACUACCACGUUGCUUAUAUAAGUGCCAACAAAGCUGGGCACGUAUUCUGUUUCUGCUUAUUGUGCUGGACUAUGACGGUAGGUAGCACUGGUACCACAAAGAUGUUAUUCAGUGGAAUUUCAUCACUUGUGCCAGCAUAAACUUUUUUCCUCCUUAUCUUUUGUAUCUCUUAGUGAUGUUACAGUAUCGGUAACUUUGUUUGGCACAGGCAAAUCCUGCCUCUGUAGAUAGCACCUGCGAGAUUAGCUCGUUUAACGCUGAUUUAGACUUAACGCUGGAGCCAGGAUGACAUCAUGCCUGUAUCGUUAUGGAAACAAUUAGACCAGUGCUAAGAUUUGCCAAUAGAGCUGACGUCUUGGUUAUAACACCUACCAUACUUCUUGCUGUAUGAAACAUGCUGGCCUGUAUGAAAAAUUCCUCUUCCCUUUUUUUUUCCCCAGUUCACACAGUACCACCUGCCCUUUCGGCUUCUAAAAUUGGUUUAUUGACAUAACCCACGAAAACAAAACGCUGCUGCGCAUAAGGAUGUAAUUUAUGCUUUUGUCCAGUUACUGACAAAGGCUUUACGUCAGCAUAUUAAAACAAAUUAUGUUUAUCAGCACAUUUUUUGAGCAAGCAGAUCUCCGUGGCGUUUUUUUCUGUCACGAUGCCAAUUAUUAGAAAGAACGACCCCAGUGCUCCCUUGAACCUCCUACGGUAGAUUUUUAGAUUCUUAAAUUGAAAACCAAUUUCUGGUAAAUACGGAUUUAUCAGAAAGCAGCUGACAUAGCAUAACAUUUUCUCCCCUUGUCAUUAAGCACGUGGAUUUAAUUUUUAGGCUGUAAGUUCAUAAACCCAUGUUCUACAUAUGUUGCAUGCAUUUUGAUAUUCAUAAAUGGAUGCUUGUUUCAUUUGGUUUUUAAGCAGCACCUUUGUCUACUCCUACGUAAGUCCCUAAUCUUUCUGGUAAAAUGAACAAUACCAUUGAAAUAUUAAUUUCUUGACUUCUGCUCCAAGUGUGUAAAACCCAGAGGAAAUGGGAGUUGGGUAAGUUUUUAAUUAAAGCAUAUUCAGGGUGAUAAAGAUGUUGAAUCAUGGUGCAUCUUCAUAGAAUUAUACCGGGUAUGCAGGUAUCCUACAGUUACAGCAUUCCGGCAGAACACGAAGGAACUGCACCAGUGAGACAUGCAGCAAGAGGUCCUGCAGUAGGCAGGUGCUGAACUGCUUGCUUUAGGGCUGUGUUUCAGCAUCUUUUCUUCUCAGAGAACCAACAAUGCCUGAAGCCACUGACUUUCCCAAGCAGUUCAAAGAACUUUUUCAAAGUUGGAGCAAGUCAUCCAGUGAAAGAGGAAUGAAUUGACAUUUGGCUGUUUGUACUUUUCCAAAUGCACAACGUGACAUCAGAUGUAAAAAUGACCACUUUUUCCUGGAGGCAGAGCAGCAGUACCUUUGGGCUCCAACUUGGGGAAGUCUGGCCACAGACACGAGUCUGCAGCAGCUGGGAUUGAGAGAAGCACAAGAGAAACCCUGCCUGUCUGAGCAAACUGGGACAGAGUGAGGCAAAAAUGCCUGUUGUUUCUUACCUGUGGACUUAACUUUUGGACUAACAUGCAUUAAAUGCAUCCACUAAAUCAGGCAAAGCUGCUUUUAAGACAGUGAUGGAAAAAUUAUGUCUCGGUGCUCAUUUAUGGUUCAAGUAGCGUUUUAUAUAUUUAUUAUCAUUAUACACAACCUUGACAAUCUAUAUUGCCAUUCAAAAAUAAAUUGAGUAUUGUCAAUUUGCACAUGAUCUGUCACUAAUCAGGAUCCCAUUUACAUACAUAGUAAACAUUUUGCAUACUUAACACUGCCUUUAAUUCUAACAUCCCCAUCUCUCCCCCCCAUCCUGUGGAAAUAUGUUCAGAAUAUGUAAACAAACUUUUCCCACUAUGCAACAUUCAGUAACUAACUCUUUCAACUAACUUAACUGGACCGUGUAAGCACUUUAUCAGGGUGGCCGGUGGGCAUAGCUAUUAAUUGCAUUUUAUUUAAAUUACUCCUCAUGUAUCACAUUGCAGUGAUUCCUACUUUUCACUGUCUCAUGUGUUUUCCUCUCAUAAGGAAGACAGAAAAUGGGGUUUAACAACUCUCAUGUAAGUCACAUGAGCAAAUUCCUGCUGUAGCGCCAACAGUCCUGUUCAGUUGUGUUCACUUGUUACUUACAUGGAUAGUAGGUGGUUGAUGUCCUCAUGUUCAACUGCGGUGAACUAAGAAUGCAUGCAGGAGUCAGCUAGCACACAAUUUCUAGUGUGUUAAGAAUUUUUAUUUCCACUCCAAAUACUGUAAUGGAGUUGAAAUGAAAAUUUACAAGGCUGUCAACUGCUUUUGUUAAGCAAUGCAGUUUCUCCUACCUCUGUUUUCUGGUGCUUCAAAGGCUAGAGAAUAAUGAGAAAAGUAGUGAAAUAAUAUUCUUUCGUCCAGUUUCAAGAAAACUUGUAGAUAGCAGCAGGUAAUGUAAGCGUGCUUAGCUCUUCUAAAUAGUGUAUUGAUUCAUACCUCAAGUUUGGUCAUCUAGAGUUCAGUUCAGGUGGGCUUCAGUAUCGGCCCACAGAAGUAUUACUGUGUAGUAACGCAACAAUCAAAGCCCUGUUUUGGACGAUGAGGGUCAUGCUGAAACUUCUCUGCAGGAACUGCACUGAGCUUCUCUUCCUGUAACAAGGAAGGUACUCCAAACCAGCAAACGCAGCAUAUCUCUAACAUGGUUUUGUGUUUUUGAGAACUGGUGUCAGGUAAUCAGAAUGAAUGGACAACCAGAGUACUAAGAAGAAUGAAGACUUCUUUUUUUUCAAGUUGUUAACUUCUUAGUAAUACCUAUGUCAAGAAAGACCUAGGAAAAAACUCUCAAUUUCUUAGCCUGUUCCCUAAGAAUUACGCUUAAACUUAAUCCUCACAGGGAAAAAAAAAACAAAACAUUUUAAUACGGAAUAUUUGAGAAGACUUAUUGACAGGAAGAAGCAAGCUGGAA